UUUUUAUUUUACUAAGUACAUAAAUUUCGUAUAAAAGAAUUUCAAAUUUAUUUCAACUGAAUAAAUCUAACAAGUAUAAAUAGAACUAAUUAUAAAUAGAUAAAGUGAGAAAAGAGGGAAACUUCAAGGGUAAUUGAGUAAUUACUACAUAUGAAUAGCAGUUGAAGAGCUGCCGGUGCUAAUGAUGGAUAUUAUAAAUUUUGAAACAUAUUUGGGUUCAGAAACACCCAGAAAAGCCAGGAAGCUAACAAGCAUAAGCAAUACAGCACAACACAACACAACAACACCCGUAUCCGAUUUGCAGCUGUCAGGAUACUGAUGCAUUAGUUUUCCUGAUGCGGAGCUAUUAUUCAUGAGACAAGACAUUUGGAGGAAUAAGUGAGUUCUGAAUUUCAUAGCAAUUAAUUGGAAAAAAAGGAAUUUUCUAAAACAUUUUUUAUUGUUUCCUCUUAAUUUAUUAAAUUCAACUUAUGAGAUAAGUGUUAGAUGGGUAAAAAGACUGUACUUCAUAGACAUUGUAACUUCCCCAAUGAGUUCUCUUUGCCUUAUGUGAGAAUAUGGCAUGGAGGGGCUUCCUCUAAAACCUGAUUCUUGCAACUCUUUUUUGUUUUUUAUUUAUUUUUUAACUCCUAGGUUGGUUUUUUCCUGUGUACAUUACUUUCUUCUUUCUUUCUUGUGGCUUUGGGUAUGAUUUCCUUAAAGUUUGGAUUUAUCCUGUCAUUGAGACUCUA
Long non-coding RNA from Ricinus communis (castor bean), 731 nucleotides. RefSeq lists it as uncharacterized. The transcript is spliced from 2 exons. The record is from RefSeq and is a predicted model, not a curated record. NCBI's taxonomy places the organism in Eukaryota, Viridiplantae, Streptophyta, Magnoliopsida, Malpighiales, Euphorbiaceae.